CAGUGAUCUCCAUCCUCCAGCAUCCCUACAGGGAUUAGAAUCUCAAGGCAUGAUCCGUAAAAAACUAAAUCAAAGAAUCAUUUGGAAAGAACAAACCGAUAGAGCAAACUUAUAAUGCCGAAGAAUAAAUGGCUAAUUGGUUUUGUUUAUCAAUAAAGAUUGAGUUGCCUGCUUCAUA
Molecule: long non-coding RNA, 178 nt
Organism: Pantherophis guttatus
Lineage: Eukaryota; Metazoa; Chordata; Lepidosauria; Squamata; Colubridae
Source: RefSeq, a predicted model, not a curated record